Molecule: RNA transcript, 1823 nt
Organism: Brassica rapa (field mustard)
Lineage: Eukaryota; Viridiplantae; Streptophyta; Magnoliopsida; Brassicales; Brassicaceae
Source: RefSeq, a predicted model, not a curated record
UGUCAACAGACCUCAAUUAGGUCGUUAGCAGUCCCAGGAUCACUCUCGCGUCUCGAGUCUCGAGUCUCGAGUCUCUCUGGCGUCGCUUCCGCUUCCGCUUCAGUCACUCUCGUCGUUUCCGUCACUCGCGUCUCGAGUCGCGCAUCUCUCGCAUCGCAUCUCUCUCGCAUCGCAUUUCUCGAGUCGCGCAUCUCUCGCAUCGCAUCUCUCGAGUCGCGCAUCUCUCACGUCUACUUCAAUGGGUAGUAUUCUUUAUUUUGCUCCACAAAGAAAAAGUAUCCAGUGCCACCUGUGGCAUUGUCAGAGAGCGUAUCAGCCAUACUGCUCAAGCUCGCAUUCGGAGCUAGCUUUACUUGGCGAAGAAGGCAGGAACGCAAUUGUUAUUGCUGAUGGGAUGAAAGAUCAAGAAAUCAACGAGAUUUCUGGCAAGAUUGUACGGUCCACUGUGCAAGGGAAACGAUGCGGCAUUCCUCACGUGUUUCCUAGCGAUCUGUGCAGUAAUCCUUGGGAGCUUGAGGGCUUUGUCUUCAACAGGGAGCUCGAGUUGGAUGAAACACGCAGAUCAUGGGUUUUUUUCUGUGAAAACAACCCUGAGGAUUUUGGAACAGUCUGGAAAUUAGUUGGGGGUUCCAAAGAGAUCUCUCCUGGAAUCUACUGUCAAAAGUACAUCUUGACACCGGAUUACGCAUCUCCUGGUGGUCGUUUUCUGCUAAGUAAGGUUACUGGAUGGCGUUUCAGCUUGGCUCUUUACUGGAUGACGUUUCUGGCGGCUGAGCCUAAGGUAGAGUCUGAGGAGGAUGGUAAGGUUACUGUUGUACCAUCUGAGGGAGAGACCUCCAAACGCAAACUAAUCGACUGUGACCCUUCUUCCCAACUGCCCAACAAGGCUACGAAGAUUGGCAGAGUUGAUGGGGCCAUGGAAAGUCCAAACACCAAUGUCUCUCAUUCAGUACAUGUCUUGGCUCACAAAUCAGACAUGUAUGUCUUCUGUUUGUACUCCCACAACGUCGCUGCUAAGGGGAAAUUCAUCGCAUUUGCGUCGACAGAUGCAGAGACUGAUAACCCUCAAACCGAACUAAAGGCUGGGAUUGAUCUUUUGGGUCCUGUUGAUGAGAUAUUCUUCGACAUGUAUGAUAGAUACGAGCCUGUCAACGAGCCCGCUUCGGACAACUGCUUUAUAUCAACGAGCUAUGAUGCUACAACACACUUCGAGACAACUGUUGCUGAUGUGUUGAACAUGUAUACCCUAAUCACCGGAGAGGUAAAUGUUCUGACAUUCUUCGCUACGGAUGUAUGUUAGAUGCGAAUUGAGAUGGAGAGAAGUCUCGUGUUUCUUUAUGUCACAUCAACUUUGUGUGUGGAAUUACAUGAGAUGUGAUGGAAAGUGAUUGCUUUCGUUUGAUUUCCCCACGAUCUGAUUAUUUUGAGUAAAGAAGCCAUCUUGUUUUUGAGAAGCCAUUGUCUUUGGUAGACUGAUUACAAUGUUAACAUGAUGCCUAAGGUGAUGAUGGCAUUUAUUACAAUGUAUGUUAACGAUAUUAUGUUAAUGACUCAUGACAAGUUUUCUGGUUAUGUUCAGGAUUACAACGAGAAGGACUCCAAAACACACAGCGGAAUGGUUGACAACACUAUUGCAAUUAUGAGCCACCCUAUUCCAAACACCAACGACCCUCGUUCAGUGCAUGUCAUCAUUUCCCAGAAGCAGUUGGCCCACAAAUCAGACAUGUAUGUCUUCUGUUGUUCAUACUCCCACAACGUGGCCCCCCAAGGGAAAGUUCAUCGCAUUUGUUUCUAAACGAUGCAGAGACUGAUAACCCUCAACC